UGGCGGCGUGCUUAACACAUGCAAGUCGAGCGAUGAAGCUUCCUUCGGGAAGUGGAUUAGCGGCGGACGGGUGAGUAACACGUGGGUAACCUGCCUCAAAGUGGGGGAUAGCCUUCCGAAAGGAAGAUUAAUACCGCAUAAUAUGAGAGAAUCGCAUGAUUUUCUUAUCAAAGAUUUAUUGCUUUGAGAUGGACCCGCGGCGCAUUAGCUAGUUGGUAAGGUAACGGCUUACCAAGGCAACGAUGCGUAGCCGACCUGAGAGGGUGAUCGGCCACAUUGGAACUGAGACACGGUCCAGACUCCUACGGGAGGCAGCAGUGGGGAAUAUUGCGCAAUGGGGGAAACCCUGACGCAGCAACGCCGCGUGGGUGAUGAAGGUCUUCGGAUUGUAAAGCCCUGUUUUCUGGGACGAUAAUGACGGUACCAGAGGAGGAAGCCACGGCUAACUACGUGCCAGCAGCCGCGGUAAUACGUAGGUGGCGAGCGUUGUCCGGAUUUACUGGGCGUAAAGGGUGCGUAGGCGGAUGUUUAAGUGGGAUGUGAAAUCCCCGGGCUUAACCUGGGGGCUGCAUUCCAAACUGGAUAUCUAGAGUGCAGGAGAGGAAAGCGGAAUUCCUAGUGUAGCGGUGAAAUGCGUAGAGAUUAGGAAGAACACCAGUGGCGAAGGCGGCUUUCUGGACUGUAACUGACGCUGAGGCACGAAAGCGUGGGUAGCAAACAGGAUUAGAUACCCUGGUAGUCCACGCCGUAAACGAUGGAUACUAGGUGUAGGGGGUAUCAACUCCCCCCUGUGCCCGCCAGUUAACAC
This 808-nucleotide ribosomal RNA is filed under the name Clostridium lundense. RNAcentral's name for it is "bacterial SSU rRNA". It matches the Rfam family "Bacterial small subunit ribosomal RNA", at positions 37 to 858 of the family's 1533-position model. The record is from RNAcentral. Lineage: Bacteria; Bacillati; Bacillota; Clostridia; Eubacteriales; Clostridiaceae.